Molecule: ribosomal RNA, 427 nt
Filed under: uncultured bacterium
Lineage: Bacteria
Description: bacterial SSU rRNA
Rfam family: Bacterial small subunit ribosomal RNA
Source: RNAcentral
UAGGGAAUAUUGGACAAUGGGGGCAACCCUGAUCCAGCCAUGCCGCGUGAGUGAAGAAGGCCCUCGGGUUGUAAAGCUCUUUUGUCCGGAAAGAAAAGCUUCGGGUUAAUACCCCGGGGUUCUGACGGUACCGGAAGAAUAAGCACCGGCUAACUUCGUGCCAGCAGCCGCGGUAAUACGAAGGGUGCAAGCGUUACUCGGAAUUACUGGGCGUAAAGCGUGCGUAGGUGGUUGUUUAAGUCUGAUGUGAAAGCCCUGGGCUCAACCUGGGAAUGGCAUUGGAAACUGGGCAGCUAGAGUGCGGUAGAGGGUAGUGGAAUUCCCGGUGUAGCAGUGAAAUGCGUAGAGAUCGGGAGGAACAUCAGUGACGAAGGCGACUGCCUGGACCAGCACUGACACUGAGGCACGAAAGCGUGGGGAGCAAACA